AUGGAGAACGCGCACACCAAGACCGUGGAGGAGGUGCUCGGCUACUUCGGCGUCAACGAGAGCACCGGGCUGAGUCUGGAGCAGGUCAAGAAGCUCAAGGAGCGCUGGGGCUCCAACGAACUGCCAGCAGAAGAAGGGAAAACCUUAUUGGAGCUUGUCAUUGAACAGUUUGAAGAUUUAUUAGUUAGAAUUUUACUGCUGGCAGCUUGCAUAUCUUUUGUCCUGGCCUGGUUUGAAGAAGGUGAAGAAACAGUCACAGCAUUCGUGGAGCCUUUUGUAAUCCUGCUUAUCUUAGUGGCCAAUGCCAUUGUGGGUGUGUGGCAGGAAAGAAAUGCUGAGAAUGCAAUUGAAGCUCUUAAGGAAUAUGAACCUGAAAUGGGUAAAGUUUAUCGUCAGGACAGGAAGAGUGUCCAGCGGAUCAAAGCCAAAGACAUAGUUCCUGGGGAUAUUGUGGAAAUAGCUGUUGGUGACAAAGUUCCUGCCGACAUAAGGUUGACGUCCAUCAAGUCUACCACCUUACGAGUGGAUCAGUCAAUUCUCACAGGGGAAUCUGUCUCUGUUAUUAAACACACGGACCCUGUGCCUGAUCCCCGGGCUGUCAAUCAAGAUAAGAAGAAUAUGCUCUUUUCUGGUACAAAUAUUGCCGCUGGAAAAGCCAUGGGAGUAGUUGUCGCCACUGGCGUGAACACUGAAAUUGGCAAAAUCCGUGACGAAAUGGUGGCGACCGAGCAAGAGCGGACACCCCUGCAGCAGAAGCUGGACGAGUUUGGGGAGCAGCUGUCCAAAGUCAUCUCCCUCAUUUGCAUCGCCGUCUGGAUGAUCAACAUUGGGCACUUCAAUGACCCGGUGCAUGGGGGGUCCUGGAUCAGGGGCGCCAUCUACUACUUUAAAAUUGCAGUCGCCCUGGCUGUCGCGGCCAUUCCUGAGGGUCUGCCUGCAGUCAUCACCACCUGCCUGGCCCUGGGCACCCGCCGAAUGGCCAAAAAGAACGCCAUCGUCCGGAGCCUGCCGUCCGUGGAGACCUUGGGCUGCACCUCAGUCAUCUGCUCAGACAAGACCGGCACUCUGACCACCAACCAGAUGUCUGUGUGCAGGAUGUUUAUUCUGGACCGAGUGGAAGGGGAUAGCUGCUCCUUGAAUGAGUUUACCAUAACUGGGUCAACAUACGCACCCAUGGGAGAAGUGCACAAGGAUGACAAACAAGUGAAGUGUCACCAGUACGACGGUCUCGUAGAGCUGGCCACCAUCUGUGCCCUUUGCAAUGACUCUGCUUUAGACUACAAUGAGGCAAAAGGUGUGUAUGAAAAGGUUGGGGAAGCCACGGAGACGGCCCUCACUUGUCUGGUUGAGAAGAUGAACGUCUUUGACACGGAGCUCAAAGGCCUCUCCAGGAUCGAGCGCGCCAAUGCCUGCAACUCGGUUAUCAAACAACUGAUGAAGAAAGAAUUCACCCUUGAGUUUUCAAGAGAUAGAAAAUCCAUGUCUGUCUAUUGUACACCCAACAAACCCAGCCGGACCUCGAUGAGCAAGAUGUUUGUGAAGGGAGCCCCCGAAGGUGUCAUCGACAGGUGCACACACAUCCGGGUGGGGAGCACCAAGGUUCCCAUGACCCCCGGGGUCAAACAGAAGAUCAUGACGGUUAUCCGGGAAUGGGGCACGGGCAGGGAUACGCUGCGCUGCCUGGCACUGGCCACACACGACAAUCCGCCCAGGAGAGAGGAGAUGAACCUGGAGGACUCGGCCAACUUCAUUAAGUACGAGACCAACCUGACUUUUGUCGGCUGCGUGGGCAUGCUGGAUCCCCCCAGGACCGAGGUGGCCUCAUCCAUAAAGCUCUGUCGGCAAGCCGGCAUCCGCGUCAUCAUGAUCACGGGCGACAACAAGGGCACCGCCGUGGCCAUCUGCCGCCGCAUCGGCAUCUUUGGGAACGACGAGGACGUCACCGCCAAGGCUUUCACAGGCCGCGAGUUCGAUGAGCUCAAUCCCUCAGCGCAGAGGGAUGCCUGCCUCAACGCCCGCUGCUUCGCCAGGGUCGAGCCUUCCCACAAGUCCAAGAUUGUCGAGUUCCUCCAGUCUUUUGAUGAGAUUACAGCAAUGACUGGGGACGGUGUCAAUGAUGCGCCGGCCCUCAAGAAAUCGGAGAUCGGCAUCGCCAUGGGCUCGGGGACCGCAGUGGCCAAAACCGCAUCGGAGAUGGUGCUGGCCGAUGACAACUUCUCCACCAUCGUGGCAGCCGUGGAGGAGGGGCGUGCCAUCUACAACAACAUGAAGCAGUUCAUCCGCUACCUCAUCUCUUCCAACGUGGGGGAGGUCGUGUGUAUCUUCCUGACUGCUGCCCUCGGUUUUCCCGAGGCUCUGAUCCCCGUCCAGCUCUUGUGGGUGAACCUGGUGACGGACGGCCUGCCAGCCACGGCCUUGGGCUUCAACCCUCCCGACUUGGACAUCAUGAACAAGCCACCCCGGAACCCCAAAGAGCCCCUCAUCAGCGGCUGGCUCUUCUUCCGCUACCUGGCCAUCGGAUGUUAUGUCGGGGCUGCCACUGUGGGGGCGGCUGCAUGGUGGUUCAUCGCUGCUGACGGUGGUCCAAGAAUCACCUUCUACCAGCUGAGUCACUUCCUGCAGUGUAAGGAGGACAAUCCAGACUUUGAGGGCGUGGACUGUGGGAUCUUUGAAUCCCCGUACCCCAUGACGAUGGCGCUGUCUGUGCUGGUGACCAUUGAGAUGUGCAACGCGCUCAACAGCUUAUCAGAGAACCAGUCCCUGUUGAGGAUGCCUCCGUGGGAGAACAUCUGGCUGGUAGGCUCCAUCUGCCUCUCCAUGUCCCUGCACUUCCUGAUCCUCUAUGUAGAACCUCUGCCGCUCAUCUUCCAGAUCACGCCUCUGAACGUGACCCAGUGGCUCAUGGUGCUGAAGAUCUCCCUGCCUGUGAUCCUUAUGGACGAGACCCUGAAAUUUGUGGCCCGUAACUACCUGGAACCUGGUAAAGAGUUUGUGCAGCCCGCCACCAAACCGUGCUCUUUCCCAUCCUGCACCGAAGGGAUUUCCUGGCCGUUUGUGCUGAUCAUUAUGCCCUUGGUUAUCUGGCUUUAUAGCACAGACACUAACUUUAGUGACAUGUUCUGGUCUUGACUGACAUAGUUUUACAUAAAAGAUGUUUAACUUAAUCAAUUAAUUUUUUUUAUUGUUUAAAGCAACUGUCUAUUUCUGCUGAAUUUUCACAUGAACAUGUUUGCUGGUGAAGGAGGUUUCAUACUCUAGAUUUUGUUUUGCUUUUUCUGACUCCAGUGGGGCAAGAUUUUCCUUUUUUAUACACAUAAUUAAAGUGUCCAUUGACAUGUACAGAGAACUAACACUAUUUUAUGCAAAUAUUUUUUUGUAGAUGAAAAAGCAUGUACAGUGUUCUGUCUAAUAGUCUCAUCCUUGUAUAAAGAAAUCGUUGAGCCAGCAGACAUUGUCAGCAAAUUAAUUGGCGGCAGAUUUUAGGGAAUGAAUGUGUGUGGUUUUUUUUUUCUAAAACUAAGUAGCAUGUAUUGUCUUCUGCAUGAUCACCUGGAUUUAAUUUGAUGUCACGGUCUAAUUUUUUUAUUCAUAAGCCAAUUUUUCUGCACUGAGCAGAGUACUGCUACCUCAGUCAGUAUUUUUGGUUUGCCGCCCCCUCCCGCCCCUCACCGUCAGCACCGCCCCCCGCCCUUCCCCUGUUCCCCUCUUGGCUUCUUGGUUCUCGGAUGCCGAUGGUUAUGUUUACAUCCGUCUCAAUAAGAGGUAGGCCUAUUCUCGCUUGUGCAGAAAACAUUGUUCCAGAUUCACUCUCCUGGACUCAUCUCCCCGAUGUAGUUUUUAAGGUUAUUUAUUUAAACGUCUAAUGUAUUUUCUUGUAACAGACAUUGUUUUGCCAAUGUUGCCCACUUCAGCGGCACUUAUCUAGUUUUAAAAGAAAUAAAUAAAACCUUUUAAAUGGACAGAGGAAAAGACCUGUCUCGUUUUAACUCUAAAAGUGGCUUAAGCCUAGGCGGGACUCCUUGCUGAUCAGAGAAAUCUCCCUUCGAGGCCUUAGACCAGAGCCCUGGCGUUCGGCUUGAGAGGGGCAGAGCCUGGCACAGUUAGAAGUUGGGUCUGAGGGCAUGAACCAUCUGCUAGAUACGUGAGAGACAUACGGGGGGAGGGGGGUGCGCGUGUUUUGUAAAAUCUGUAAAUAGCACCUGACCAAAUGGACAUAUUGUAUAGAACGGUUUUUAUUUUCCUGUGGCACUAACCACCACCAUCAUUAUCAUGGUUGAUGUUUGCGCAUGUUUUCGAGUUCAGUCCAAUACCAACAGCGUGUGAGUCUUUAACUGUCCUAACUGUGGUGUUUUUCUCCAAUGCCUUCCAACAUUCAUCAACUAAACAAUACUGGAGUAACCGCUUCCUAAACCAUUUUGCAGAAGUGUGAGGUUGUUUUGUUGCGUGCAUGUGCGUUUUUUUAGCAACAUCUACCGGUCCUCUGCAUGUGUGAUGUUGGAAAAAAAAAACCAAAAAGAGCAAAAAAAAAAAAAAAAAAAAACCCACAAAAAAAGGAAAAAAACAAUCCUCUCGAGCUCAUUGUGUGUGAUGUGGAGGACGUGUGUUGCCGAUGGGGUUUCACUUUUUAAAAAGAAUCAAAUACUACUUUACAAACGUGCAAUAUAGCUUAAAUCCGAAAACCCUCCCGGGAAGUUUGGUUCUUUGCUGCACGGAGAUAGACGGGAGUCUUUAAAAACUUCAACCGCCUGAGAAUCAGGAGCCGGCAGCCAAGUUUCCAUAGCUCUCCCCGGGAUACAAUGCCAUAGCCUCUCUAAUGUACAAACCCUCGAUUGUAAUGCAUGCCUUCUGUUGUGAGUAGCCAACCUCCUGUACGGUCUCAUCGAAACGUGCUACUUUAUAAACCGGCCGUGUACAGUUCGCUUAUUUAUAAACUCAUGGAAAACACUACAGAUGUUGAAUGUUCAAAAUCAUAGCCAGCCCUCCAGUCCAGAACUGAAGUUUGGUGGUUGUUAUUAUUAUUAUUUUUUAAAAUGUGUGCAAACAACUCUUUUUGCACUGUAAUAAUGUAACUUAUUUAAGGAAAUCCAAGCAGUAGACAGAUGUUGGUGCAAUAAUACAAAUAUCGUGAUGCGUUUAUCUUAGACCUAAUGCUACAAGUCCACUUUUGAUCACAAACGCAUGUUGGACGUUAGAGACUGUAAAUAAAGAUGAGUUGUUGAUUCUCUGUGCUGAGAAUAAUCAGCAUCACAACCAUCAUGGUUUCAGGUAAAUAAAUUUAUUCUACAAUACA
RNA transcript from Sarcophilus harrisii (Tasmanian devil), 5290 nucleotides. It is a transcript of the gene named ATPase sarcoplasmic/endoplasmic reticulum Ca2+ transporting 2, with no coding region annotated. The record is from RefSeq and is a predicted model, not a curated record. The transcript is spliced from 21 exons. NCBI's taxonomy places the organism in Eukaryota, Metazoa, Chordata, Mammalia, Dasyuromorphia, Dasyuridae.